This 253-nucleotide ribosomal RNA is filed under the name uncultured bacterium. Its description in RNAcentral is "partial 16S ribosomal RNA". It matches the Rfam family "Bacterial small subunit ribosomal RNA", at positions 524 to 776 of the family's 1533-position model. The record is from RNAcentral.
UACGUAGGGGGCAAGCGUUGUCCGGAUUCAUUGGGCGUAAAGGGCGCGUAGGCUGCGGGGCAAGUCGGGUGUGAAAUCUCAGAGCUCAACUCUGAAACUGCACUCGAUACUGCUUUGCUUGAGGACUGGAGAGGAGAUUGGAAUUCACGGUGUAGCAGUGAAAUGCGUAGAUAUCGUGAGGAAGACCAGUGGCGAAGGCGGAUCUCUGGACAGUUCCUGACGCUGAGGCGCGAAGGCCAGGGGAGCAAACGGG